RNAcentral lists this ribosomal RNA (214 nucleotides) under Vibrio parahaemolyticus. RNAcentral describes it as "partial 23S ribosomal RNA". It matches the Rfam family "Bacterial large subunit ribosomal RNA", at positions 505 to 721 of the family's 2925-position model. Lineage: Bacteria; Pseudomonadati; Pseudomonadota; Gammaproteobacteria; Vibrionales; Vibrionaceae. The record is from RNAcentral.
GAGGGAAAGGCGAAAAGAACCCCUGUGAGGGGAGUGAAAUAGAACCUGAAACCGUGUACGUACAAGCAGUAGGAGCAGGCUUUGUCCUGUGACUGCGUACCUUUUGUAUAAUGGGUCAGCGACUUAUAUUCAGUGGCAAGGUUAACCAUCUAGGGGAGCCGUAGGGAAACCGAGUCUUAACUGGGCGUUCAGUCUCUGGAUAUAGACCCGAAAC